Molecule: long non-coding RNA, 765 nt
Organism: Alnus glutinosa
Lineage: Eukaryota; Viridiplantae; Streptophyta; Magnoliopsida; Fagales; Betulaceae
Exons: 5
Source: RefSeq, a predicted model, not a curated record
GCCCUUCACUAAAACAAGGCGCACUGCUCCUUGUUGAGAGAAAAGGCCGAAUGGCCUUUUCUUUUCUUUUUCCCGUAGAGGCAGUGCCUCUUCUUCUUAUUUUUCUCUUAAGAAUUUUUAUAGAAAAUCCUUGAUCGACGAAGAUCCAACGGUCCGAUCUUCCAUCCGACUUCGGUAGCGUGAUCUACGAAGCCCGAUUUACGUUUCUACAGAUUGGAUUAAGGAUUUGUCGUGUGGAGCUUGCUAAACACUCUCCAAGUGUUGGAUUUACAUUUGGUGGAAUUUUGUAAUGCAUUGCAUGGUGGUGUCUAGGAGACCUAGUACUUAAUAUCCGCGCAGCCAAGACAUUGAUUCUUUGGUUGCAGGUUCUGCGGAUAUAGAUAUUGACUCUCCACCUAGCGUAUGGGAUGCUAUGAUUGGAGCACAUCGCGACAGUCAUAAGUCAUGGACUCAUAGAUUCCCUGACUGAAGGACAUGCAAAGGAUUUGGUGUGGAAAACAUCAAAGGCGAUGGGAUUAAAGUCUUUAUCACCAAUAGUGGAAACUCAACUAAAGAUCUUGAGUCCAAUGAGAUAAAGUACACUGUAUAUUGUAAUCGCAAGUACCACAUAUUGAAUUAGUUUUUAAACUAAUAAAACAUCCCAAGGUUAAGGUGAUUGGAACCUAUAAUGUUAUAGUGGAGGUUGUGUUUUAUCCACUUAAUAGGCUUAUAACAGAUUUAUGUUGAAGUGUAUCAGUUACAGGGAACUUCUGAUAAGCCUACCAA